RNAcentral lists this ribosomal RNA (497 nucleotides) under uncultured bacterium. RNAcentral describes it as "partial 16S ribosomal RNA". It matches the Rfam family "Bacterial small subunit ribosomal RNA", at positions 28 to 507 of the family's 1533-position model. The record is from RNAcentral.
GAUGAACGCUGGCGGCGUGCCUAAUACAUGCCAGUCGAGCGAACGGACGAGAAGCUUGCUUCUCUGAUGUUAGCGGCGGACGGGUGAGUAACACGUGGAUAACCUACCUAUAAGACUGGGAUAACUUCGGGAAACCGGAGCUAAUACCGGAUGAUAUUUUGAACCGCAUGGUUCAAAAGUGAAAGACGGUCUUGCUGUCACUUAUAGAUGGAUCCGCGCUGCAUUAGCUAGUUGGUAAGGUAACGGCUUACCAAGGCAACGAUGCAUAGCCGACCUGAGAGGGUGAUCGGCCACACUGGAGCUGAGACACGGUCCAGACUCCUACGGGAGGCAGCAGUAGGGAAUCUUCCGCAAUGGGCGAAAGCCUGACGGAGCAACGCCGCGUGAGUGAUGAAGGUCUUCGGAUCGUAAAACUCUGUUAUUAGGGAAGAACAUAUGUGUAAGUAACUGUGCACAUCUUGACGGUACCUAAUCAGAAAGCCCCGGCUAACUACGUG